RNAcentral lists this ribosomal RNA (640 nucleotides) under uncultured archaeon. RNAcentral describes it as "bacterial SSU rRNA". It matches the Rfam family "Archaeal small subunit ribosomal RNA", at positions 1 to 650 of the family's 1478-position model. The record is from RNAcentral.
UUCCGGUUGAUCCGCCGGACCUGACUGCUAUCGGAUUGAUACUAAGCCAUGCGAGUCAUUGUAGCAAUACAAGGCAGACGGCUCAGUAACGCGUAGUCAACCUACCCUAUGGACGGGAAUAACCUCGGGAAACUGAGUAUAAUGCCCGAUAGAACACUAUACCUGGAAUGGUUUGUGUUUCAAAUGAUUUAUUGCCGUAGGAUGGGACUGCGGCCUAUCAGUUUGUUGGUGAGGUAAUGGCCCACCAAGACUAUUACAGGUACGGGCUCUGAGAGGAGUGGCCCGGAGAUGGGUACUGAGACACGGACCCAGGCCCUAUGGGGCGCAGCAGGCGAGAAAACUUUGCAAUGUGCGAAAGCACGACAAGGUUAAUCCGAGUGGUUUCUGCUAAAGGAACCUUUUGACAGUCCUAGAAACACUGUUGAAUAAGGGGUGGGCAAGUUCUGGUGUCAGCCGCCGCGGUAAAACCAGCACCUCAAGUGGUCAGGAUGAUUAUUGGGCCUAAAGCAUCCGUAGCCGGCUCAGUAAGUUUUCGGUUAAAUCUGUACGCUCAACGUACGGGCUGCCGGGAAUACUGCAGAGCUAGGGAGUGGGAGAGGUAGACGGUACUCGGGAGGAAGUGGUAAAUGCUUUGAUCUUU